AAUCGUACCAUCAACUUGCUUGUCGUGCUGGAGUGGAUAGCAUAUAACGGACACUCUCGGCUUAUGCUCUAAGCCAAAGGUAGAUAUAUUUGGGUUUGGAUUCCCAAAGCACAUCCCAAUCAGGCUAUGCAAAAUGGAGCGGCCCACAAUUUCGUGGAGAUGGUCUUGCGCGCUCGUCAUCAACAGCACUAGGUCCAGUGGGCCAAUCAGGCUGAAUGGCAUCAUCCAGCUGUGACUGGGGUGUAGGAGUCGCCACCUGCUGUUGCGCCGACUCGAGCUAGUACUCGCAUGAGCUCGCUGGAAUUGCUAUGUGCAUCCACAAAGUCCGAAAGAACAAGCUGGAAAGGG
This is a long non-coding RNA of Sycon ciliatum, 348 nucleotides long. RefSeq lists it as uncharacterized. The record is from RefSeq and is a predicted model, not a curated record. Lineage: Eukaryota; Metazoa; Porifera; Calcarea; Leucosolenida; Sycettidae. The transcript has 3 exons.